This 1090-nucleotide long non-coding RNA is filed under the name Carassius auratus (goldfish). Its description in RNAcentral is "lncRNA (ENSCARG00000041431.1)". The record is from RNAcentral. Lineage: Eukaryota; Metazoa; Chordata; Actinopteri; Cypriniformes; Cyprinidae.
UACAUAAAAUACAUAUUAUUUUUCUUUGAAAGAUUUCUAUAAAUGAUUUAAAUCAUACUUGUUUCUACAAUAAUUAUUUAAAAGUAAUCCUAUAGCUUCAUCUGGUGGCCAUUAUUGGUGCUAAGAAUUGCAAGCUUGAUUUAUAAGUUAUGAUAGUUUUAAUUUUAUGCUGGCUCUUGAAAAUGAUAAAGCUAUGAAACUUACUGUGCUUCCUUCAAAUGAUGACUUCUACGUAUAUAAAAAAUUAUGAAGAGUUGGAAUGAAAAUUUUUAAAGAUAUAGUAAAAUAACUAUUGUAUUUUUUAAUGUUACUUUAAUAAAUCGCUAUGGCCACACCAUUUAAGGUAUCUUAAAAACCCAUUCGCUAUUUAACAUCUUCAGUAUAUUGGCUUCAUGUUAAAAAAGUUUGGUGUGAACUACUUGUGUCUUCUUGAAGGAGUAUGAAUUCAUUUACAGGCUGAUUUGAUCAUAAAUCCACAAUAAAAUUUCUGAGUUCUGUAUCAAUCUGUGUUGUUGUCUGUUUAUUUUUAUUUUUUUAUUUUUCAUAGGAAGAUAACUGACCCUUUACUCUCCUUUUUAAUAAAUGUGCUUAUAAACCAAGAACAAGCUAUUUAUAGCUGUAUGGAUUUACAUUUAAAAAAAUUAGUCUACGGCAAUCAUUCUAAACAGCUUGAAUAAAACCUGUUAAUAUUUAUUAUAGACCACUGUAACUGUGUAUAAUCUAACAAACAAGUUUAUUAUGAAAAUAAAAGUGUGUUCACCAGAUAAAUUGGACGAUAAAGAAAUUGCUAACAAUAGUAUUAUAGAGCAUGUUUUAGGUUUUUAGGCGUUUAGAUGCAGAAAUGGACAAAUCAAAUGUAAAAUAAAAUGUAAUUGAUUUAAUUAAAUAUAGAUUAAGUCUUGUUAGAGCAAAAUAAUAAAUAAAUACCUACACACAUUAAAAAAGCAGCCAAGAUUAAUGAGUUAAAUUUUUUAUAUAGAUUAAAAUUGAAGACAGAAGCAGCUGGUAUAUGCGGUCACUUAAUAUUAAAAUCCAGUAGAUCCACUUCAGAUUUAUUUCUCAACAGUUUAUGUUCACGUGGCUGUUUUCG